UUGAAACACAUAACAAUAGAAGAGAUGCAUUGCAUGUGUAUUGUCUUUUAAUCAUGCACAUUUUGGUGCAUGAUUAUUGUCAAAUGGUUUGUCUAAUACUGAGUAGAUCCGCACGUAUGUCAAGGUUCUUAAUAUGGAACCAUUAGAUGAUGGAUGACCAUUUUUUGCAAUAUCUGACUGAGGAAUAAUGGUACAAUUGAUAAGGGUUGGACUUCCCUCUGCAACCAUCCUCUUUGCUAGAGUAAUUCAAGGCUGCAAAGUGACAUAAUCAUGGAUGGUGUUACCUAAUGGGCUGGAGAGUUUCUAAAUUAUGAGAUGUGCAUGAUUAAGCAGGCCCUGCUUCAUUACCGAAAAAGGCUUUCGCCCCGUUUUA
This is a long non-coding RNA of Triticum dicoccoides, 373 nucleotides long. RefSeq lists it as uncharacterized. NCBI's taxonomy places the organism in Eukaryota, Viridiplantae, Streptophyta, Magnoliopsida, Poales, Poaceae. The transcript has 2 exons. The record is from RefSeq and is a predicted model, not a curated record.